Molecule: non-coding RNA, 100 nt
Organism: Mycena floridula
Lineage: Eukaryota; Fungi; Basidiomycota; Agaricomycetes; Agaricales; Mycenaceae
Source: the annotation of a GenBank genome assembly
UCCGGUACGGUAUAAUGGUCAACAUUGCCGCCUCUCAUCCAUUUACCACCUCUCAGGACCAAGUCCGCGGCAGCUCGGGGUUCGAUUCCCUGUACCGGAA